AUGUCCAUCGUCAAGCGUGCUUUGGGCUUCGGCGGCGGCUACGGCCAGAGCAAGCCCGUGAUAAGCUACCACACCCACAACUCCGACUCGGUGACCACCGUCAUGACGGAGAUCAGCCACAUGAGCCUCAACGAGAAGCAGGCCGGGUACAACGGCGGCGUGCAGAAGACGGCCUCCCUCACGGAGCUGUGCUCUGAGGAUGCCGACGUGCAGAAGCACGGCUACGGGCAGCAGGCGUACGGGGGCGACGUCGGAGGCUUCGACGCCGUCGUCCGUGACAACGCCGGGCAGAAGCACGGCGGCUAUGGUGAGCAGAAGGCGUCGUCGUACCAGCAUGAGAGCGCUGCCGGAGGGUAUGGCGCUCACCACCACGAAAGCUCCGUGCAGAAGCACGGCGCCUAUGGCGGACAAAAGGCGGCGGCGUACCAGCAUGGAGGCUAUGACGCCGUCAGCCACGACAGCACGACGCAGAAGCAUGGCUACGGUGAGCAGAAGGCUUACCAGAAUGGGGCCGAGGCCCACCAUGACAGCUCGGCGCAGAAGCAUGGCUACGGCGAGCAGAAGGCGUACGGUGGUCACCACCAGGACAGCAAGGUCCAGAAGAGCGGCUACGGCGGCGAGCACACGGCGUAUCACCAGGACGGCAAGGUCCAGAAGCAUGGCUACGGCGAGAAGGCGCACGGCUACGGCGAGCAGAAGGCUUACGACAGCAAGGUCCAGAAGCACGGCUACGGCGAGCAGAACGCGUACGACAGCAAGGUCCAGAAGCAUGGCUAUGGCGAGAAGGCGCACGGCUAUGGCGAGCAGAAGGCGUACGAGCAUGGGAGCGCCGCCGCCGCCCUCCACCACGACAGCUACGGCGCCAUGAAGAAGCACGGCUAUGGCGGCGAGCAGAAGGCGUACGGCGCUGCAGCGGGAGGGUACGACGCCGUCCACCACGACAGCUCAGUGCAGAACUACGGCUACGGCGAGCAGAAGGCGCCGUACCAGCACGGGAGCGACGCCGGAGGGUACGGCCGUGCCCACCACGGCAGCGAGACGCAGAAGCACGGCUACGGCGGUGGGCAGAAGGCUUACGGGCACGGCGCUGAUGCCGGAGGGUACGACGCUGCUUUCCACCACGGUGGCGCGAAGCAGACGAAGCACGGCUACGGCGGCGGGCAGAUGGCCGGAGGGUACGACUCUGCUUUCCACCACGGUGGCGCGAAGCAGACGAAGCACGGCUACGGCGGCGGGCAGAUGGCCGGAGGGUACGACUCUGCUUUCCAGCACGGCGCCUAUGGCGGGCAGAAGGCGUCGUACGACGCGCUCGCCCAGAAGAAGCACGGGUACGGGCAAAAUGCGUACCAGCAGCAAGGGUGCGACGGCGGCGACGUCGCAGGGUAUGACGCUCUUGUCCAACGCCGGCAGAUGCAGAAGCAGCUGCAAUACAACCAGUUCGGGUGGGAGAGCGACGAAGAGAGCGACUGCGAAGACGAGGUGCUGGGCGGCGGAUACGGCGGCAGCACCGUGCCCGGCGCCACACAGUACUACUCCGCGUACGAGCGCCGCCAGCGGCUCGGCGGCGGGAGCCACUACGAGGCGGCGUACCAGAGCUCCACCACCCAGGGGUGCUCCGGCGGCGGCUACGGCGGCGGGUGGGCGCAGCCCAUGAAGCACAGCUACUACUGA
RNAcentral lists this ribosomal RNA (1671 nucleotides) under Triticum aestivum (bread wheat). RNAcentral describes it as "partial small subunit ribosomal RNA". The record is from RNAcentral. Lineage: Eukaryota; Viridiplantae; Streptophyta; Magnoliopsida; Poales; Poaceae.